AAAACUCUAUAUAACAUUCCUAA
RNAcentral lists this small nuclear RNA (23 nucleotides) under Arabidopsis thaliana (thale cress). Its description in RNAcentral is "snRNA_08747". Lineage: Eukaryota; Viridiplantae; Streptophyta; Magnoliopsida; Brassicales; Brassicaceae. The record is from RNAcentral.